RNAcentral lists this ribosomal RNA (1486 nucleotides) under uncultured Bordetella sp. RNAcentral describes it as "partial 16S-23S ribosomal RNA intergenic spacer". It matches the Rfam family "Bacterial small subunit ribosomal RNA". The record is from RNAcentral. Lineage: Bacteria; Pseudomonadati; Pseudomonadota; Betaproteobacteria; Burkholderiales; Alcaligenaceae.
AGUUCGAUUAUGGCUCAGAUUGAACGCUGGCGGGAUGCUUUACACAUGCAAGUCGAACGGCAGCACGGACUUCGGUCUGGUGGCGAGUGGCGAACAGGUGAGUAAUGUAUCGGAACGUGCCUAGUAGCAAGGGGAUAGCUACGCGAAAGCGUAGCUAAUACCGCAUACGCCCUUCGGGGAAAGCGGGGGACCUUCGGGCCUCGCGCACUGUGGAAACGGCCGAUAUCCGGAUUAGCUAGUUGGUGAGUAACGGCCGCAGAGGCGAUCCGUAGCUGGUUUGAAGGACGACCAGCCACACUGGGACUGAGACACGGCCCAGACUCCUACAGGAGGCAGCAGUGGGAAUUUUUUUGGACAAUGGAAACCACCAGUCCAGCCAUCCCGCGUGUGCGAUGAAGGCCCUUCCCGGGUUGUAAAGCACUUUUGGCAGGAAAGAAACGGCACGGGAUAAUACCCCGUGCAACUGAUGGUACCUGCAGAAUAAGCACCGGCUAACUACGUGCCAGCAACCGCGGUAAUACGUAGGAGUGCAAGCGUUAAUCGGAAUUACUGGGCGUAAAGCGUGCGCAGGCGGUUCGGAAAGAAAGAUGUGAAAUCCCAGAGCUUAACUUUGGAACUGCAUUUUUAACUACCGAGCUAGAACUGUCCAGAGGGAGGUGGAAUUCCGCGAUGUAGCAGUGAAUGCGUAGAUAUGCGGAGGAACACCGAUGGCGAAGGCAGCCUCCUGGGAUAACACUGACGCUCAUGCACGAAAGCGUGGGAGCAAACAGGAUUAAACCACCCUGGUAGUCCACGCCCUAAACGAUGUCAACUAGCUGUUGCGGACUGGGCCUUGGUAGCGCAGCUAACGCGUGAAGUUGACCGCCUGGGGAGUACGGUCGCAAGAUUAAAACUCAAAGGAAUUGACGGGGACCCGCACAAGCGGUGGAUGAUGUGGAUUAAUUCGAUGCAACGCGAAAAACCUUACCUACCCUUGACAUGUGUCUGGAAUCCCGAAGAGAUUUGGGAGUGCUCGCAAGAGAACCGUUCCACGGGUGCUGCAUGGCUGUCGUCGGCUCGUGUCGUGAGAUGUUGGGUUAAGUCCCGCAACGAGCGCAACCCUUGUCAUUAGUUGCUACGAAAGGGCACUCUAAUGAGACUGCCGGUGACAAACCGGAGGAAGGUGGGGAUGACGUCAAGUCCUCAUGGCCCUUAUGGGUAGGGCUUCACACGUCAUACAAUGGUCAGGACAGAGGGUCGCCAACCCCGCAGAGGCCAAUCCCAGAAACCCGAUCGUAGUCCGGAUCGCAGUCUGCAACUCGACUUCGAAACAGUCCGGAAUCGCUAGUAAUCGCGGAUCAGCAUGUCGCGGUGAAUACGUUCCCGGGUCUUGUACACCGCCCGUCACACCAUGGGAGUGGGUUUUACAGAAGUAGUUAGCCUAACCGUAAAGGAGGGCGAUUACCACGGCAGGAUUCAUGACUGGGGUGAAGUCAUGUCGAGGUAG